CCUACGGGUGGCAGCAGUGGGGAAUAUUGCACAAUGGGGGAAACCCUGAUGCAGCAACGCCGCGUGAGUGAAGAAGUAUCUCGGUAUGUAAAGCUCUAUCAGCAGGGAAGAAAAUGACGGUACCUGACUAAGAAGCCCCGGCUAACUACGUGCCAGCAGCCGCGGUAAUACGUAGGGGGCAAGCGUUAUCCGGAUUUACUGGGUGUAAAGGGAGCGUAGACGGUGUGGCAAGUCUGAAGUGAAAGCCCGGGGCGCAACCCCGGGACUGCUUUGGAAACUGUCAUGCUGGAGUGGUGGAGAGGUAAGCGGAAUUCCUAGUGUAGCGGUGAAAUGCGUAGAUAUUAGGAGGAACACCAGUGGCGAAGGCGGCUUACUGGACAGUAACUGACGUUGAGGCUCGAAAGCGUGGGGAGCAAACAGGAUUAGAUACCCUGUAGUC
Molecule: ribosomal RNA, 439 nt
Filed under: uncultured bacterium
Lineage: Bacteria
Description: partial 16S ribosomal RNA
Rfam family: Bacterial small subunit ribosomal RNA
Source: RNAcentral